UAGGGAAUCUUCCACAAUGGGCGCAAGCCUGAUGGAGCAACACCGCGUGAGUGAAGAGGGGUUUCGGCUCGUAAAGCUCUGUUGUUGAAGAAGAACGUGCNUGAGAGUAACUGUUCAUGCAGUGACGGUAUUCAACCAGAAAGUCACGGCUAACUACGUGCCAGCAGCCGCGGUAAUACGUAGGUGGCAAGCGUUAUCCGGAUUUAUUGGGCGUAAAGAGAGUGCAGGCGGUUUCUUAAGUCUGAUGUGAAAGCCUUCGGCUUAACCGAAGAAGUGCAUCGGAAACCGGGAGACUUGAGUACAGAAGAGGGCAGUGGAACUCCAUGUGUAGCGGUGGAAUGCGUAGAUAUAUGGAAGAACACCAGUGGCGAAGGCGGCUGCCUGGUCUGCAACUGACGCUGAGGCUCGAAAGCAUGGGUAGCGAACAGGAUUAGAUACCCUGGUAGUCCAUGCCGUAAACGAUGAGUGCUAGGUGUUGGAGGGUUUCCGCCCUUCAGUGCCGGAGCUAACGCAUUAAGCACUCCGCCUGGGGAGUACGACCGCAAGGUUG
This 550-nucleotide ribosomal RNA is filed under the name uncultured bacterium. RNAcentral's name for it is "bacterial SSU rRNA". It matches the Rfam family "Bacterial small subunit ribosomal RNA", at positions 355 to 896 of the family's 1533-position model. The record is from RNAcentral.